GACGGAGGAGGCUAGCGUUGUUCGGAAUUACUGGGCGUAAAGCGUGCGUAGGCGGCCUGGUUAGUCGGAGGUGAAAUCCCGGGGCUCAACUCCGGAACUGCCUCCGAGACGGCUGGGCUUGAGUGAAGGAGAGGAGAGCGGAAUUCCCAGUGUAGAGGUGAAAUUCGUAGAUAUUGGGAAGAACACCGGUGGCGAAGGCGGCUCUCUGGCCUUUAACUGACGCUGAGGCACGAAAGCGUGGGGAGCAAACAGGAUUAGAAACCCCAGUAGUCC
RNAcentral lists this ribosomal RNA (273 nucleotides) under uncultured bacterium. RNAcentral describes it as "partial 16S ribosomal RNA". It matches the Rfam family "Bacterial small subunit ribosomal RNA", at positions 524 to 796 of the family's 1533-position model. The record is from RNAcentral.